GGUGGAGCUCAAGUGCUGGCAACGGGCAAGUCUGCUGGGGAGGAAACUGAUAUCAAAUAUGCCCUCAUCGGGACUGCUCUGGGCUUCAUCAUAUCAGCUGGCUUUCUGGCCCUGAAAAUCUGCAUGAUCAGGAAGCACUUGUUUGAUAAUGACUCCUCAGACCUGAGAAGCAUGAACGCGGGCUCCAGUGAGACCAUGGCGCUAAAGAAGAGAGCCCCAAGGUUAAACCUCAGUCUCUCUGAAAGGACAUUGCACCAGGAGGCACAUUGCCCCAGGCUCUCUCACCAUUGGUGAUGCUGCAUUUGAUGGCUUAAGUUAAGGAAGCAACAGCUAGACCUUUGCAUUGUUGAGAGAAAAUCAGCCCUUUGUAAUUAGUAAAUUAUCAGAAGCGUGGGACUAUGAGACCAUGGGAACAGCCUGACCCCAGUAAUUCUUCACCCAAUGAUCUAACAUCUAUUUGUGAUCCAUUUUUGAAUCAGUUAUUGCAUUGAGGGUUCUAAUUCCAGCAUUCUUUCUACAUUUAAUAGCUGGCAUUCUUCUAGAAGAAAGACUCCUUUUCCCCUUUUUCUCUUUCUUUUACUUAUUGAAAGUUAUUCCUAUGGACGUCAAUGAAUUAUCUUUCAUCACCAUCAUGAAUCUUUCUGAUGCUCAAAUUGUCCCAAGUUAUCAGUAUAAGUCACUACUUGGUGGUUUUAGAGAGGAUCCUAAUAGUCAUUGAGCAUUUCCUAGAUUUCUGACAUAAUAUCAUGUGUCAGUCUCACCUUUUCUUGUUUGUUUGUUUGUUUGUUUUUGCUUUUUAGGGUCACACCCAUGACAUAUGUAUGGAGGUUCCCAGGCUAGGGGUCUAAUUGGAGCUAGAGCUGCCAGCCUACAGCACAGCCACAGCAACAUGGGAUCCGAUCUGAGUCUUCAACCUACCACCACAGCUCACAACAAUGUCGACUCUUUAACCCACUGAGCAAGGCCAGGGAUCGAACCUGCAACCUCAGGUUCCCAGUCGGAUUCAUUUCUGCUGUGCCACAACGGGAACUCCCAUGUCAUUCUUACCUUGUACUGUCCUUGCCCAGACCUGGAAUCACCCAUUUGUCCAUCCCUUUCUCCUCUUCCUCCUUGUUUUAGAUGUGGAAUAGGUUUUUGAAACCAAGAUCUAGGCACAACAUGUGCUCACGGCUAUUGAAGAUCACUGCUUGUGGGUUCUCUCAAUGGACAGCCAGCAAAUGUCUAUUUAAAUCAAAAGCUCAAUACCAUAAAGUUCUUAAGAUUUCCUCAUUCCGUAUUUCUAUUUGACCUCCUCUAAAGUGAAAAAACUUCCCCAACUAUAUAAAUAUUUUCACCCAUUUGCUCUAUCCUAUAAUACACACAAAACACAUACUUUCAGAAUUACACUAUACAACUAUAAAUUCACUUAAAAAUUUCUUUGCAUUUCUUUUUUCUUCUUAGAAUUUAGGCCUCCUGGUAUAUAGAAUAUUCUGUUCAAAUUGAAUUAAUCAUUUUCUCUGUAUGGUUAUACUAUCAAUUUGAUACAAAGUUAGAGACAUCCCUUUAAGUGUAUAUGCUGUUUUAAAUUUCCUUUCUUAAUCCUUUUAGUAUAAUUUUAUUUUUCAAAGAUGUGAAACAUGUAUAUAGUUCAUAACUAAAAAUGUAAGCUCAGAGACAUUUUGCUUUCAUCCUGUCCACUCCGCACUGCUCCCACCCACUGCUUUGAGGUAACUAAUCUUUUUUUGUUGUUGUUGUUGUUGUCUUUUUAAGGCCUUACCCACGGCAUAUGGAGGUUUCCAGACUGGGGAUCAAAUCGGAGCUAUAGCUGCUGGCCUAUGCUAUAUCCACAGCAAUGCCAGAUCUAUCUGAGCCACAUCUUCAACCUUCACCACAACUCGUGGCAAUGCCAGAUCUUUAACCCACUGAGCAAGGCCAGGGAUCGAACUUGCGUCCUCAUGGAUACUAGUCAGAUUUGUUUCUGCUGACCCAUGACGGGAACUCCAAGGUAACUAAUCUUAAUAGCUCCUGCUUUAUCCUUUCUGUGUUCCUUUUACAAAAAUGUAUUUAAUUAAAAAUAUUUUAUAUAUACAAUUUUUAUAAAAUUAGAUAAAUAUAUAUGUACAAAUGUAUGCAUGUAUAUGUAUAUAUAAAUAUUAUUUUAGUUCUCAUAUGGGUUUAUUUUUAUUUGAAUCUCUGAUUUAUUUGAUGUGGUAUACGGUAUGAGAUAUAGAUCCAAUUUUACCCGUUCCCAAAUGGCAAUUCAGUUAUUUCAAUAUCAUUUUUAAAACCACCCUAUUUUCCCCAGUGUUUCAUUUGCCACCUUUAUCAUGUUCUAAAUUUCCACAUAUACUUGGACUCUUUCUAGACUUUAUAUUAU
RNAcentral lists this long non-coding RNA (2356 nucleotides) under Sus scrofa (pig). RNAcentral describes it as "lncRNA (ENSSSCG00055006234.1)". The record is from RNAcentral. Lineage: Eukaryota; Metazoa; Chordata; Mammalia; Artiodactyla; Suidae.